RNAcentral lists this ribosomal RNA (631 nucleotides) under uncultured bacterium. Its description in RNAcentral is "bacterial SSU rRNA". It matches the Rfam family "Bacterial small subunit ribosomal RNA", at positions 338 to 1533 of the family's 1533-position model. The record is from RNAcentral.
CCUACGGGAGGCAGCAGUGGGGAAUUUUGGACAAUGGGGGCAACCCUGAUCCAGCAAUGCCGCGUGAGUGAAGAAGGCCUUCGGGUUGUAAAGCUCUUUUGUCAGGGAAGAAACGGUGCGGGCUAAUAUCUCGUGCUAAUGACGGUACCUGAAGAAUAAGCACCGGCUAACUACGUGCCAGCAGCCGCGGUAAUACGUAGGGUGCAAGCGUUAAUCGGAAUUACUGGGCGUAAAGCGUGCGCAGGCGGUUUUGUAAGACUGUCGUGAAAUCCCCGGGCUCAACCUGGGAAUGGCGAUGGUGACUGCAAGGCUAGAGUUUGGCAGAGGGGGGUAGAAUUCCACGUGUAGCAGUGAAAUGCGUAGAUAUGUGGAGGAACACCGAUGGCGAAGGCAGCCCCCUGGGUCAAAACUGACGCUCAUGCACGAAAGCGUGGGGAGCAAACAGGAUUAGAUACCCUGGUAGUCCACGCCCUAAACGAUGUCUACUAGUUGUCGGGUUUUAAUUAAACUUGGUAACGCAGCUAACGCGUGAAGUAGACCGCCUGGGGAGGUACGGUCGCAAGAAUUAAAAACUACAAAAUUAGUAAGUUAGUUAGCGNGNGAGNGCGACGACGACGACGAGGAGGAGGAG